This 253-nucleotide ribosomal RNA is filed under the name uncultured bacterium. Its description in RNAcentral is "partial 16S ribosomal RNA". It matches the Rfam family "Bacterial small subunit ribosomal RNA", at positions 524 to 776 of the family's 1533-position model. The record is from RNAcentral.
UACGUAGGGUGCAAGCGUUGUCCGGAAUCAUUGGGCGGAAAGAGCGUGUAGGCGGCUCGGUAAGUCCGCUGUGAAAGUCCAGGGCUCAACCCUGGAAUGCCGGUGGAAACUGUCGAGCUAGAGUCCGGAAGAGGCGAGUGGAAUUCCUGGUGUAGCGGUGAAAUGCGCAGAUAUCAGGAGGAACACCAAUGGCGAAGGCAGCUCGCUGGGACGGUACUGACGCUGAGACGCGAAAGCGUGGGGAGCAAACAGG